Molecule: long non-coding RNA, 717 nt
Filed under: Mytilus galloprovincialis (Mediterranean mussel)
Lineage: Eukaryota; Metazoa; Mollusca; Bivalvia; Mytilida; Mytilidae
Source: RNAcentral
UACUCAUAUGGUCCGGAACACAUACAUGAUAUUCUGUGCGUUGUCGGUCGUCUAUUAAUUUUUUUCUUUUGUUGAUGGAUUUGACGUCUUUCUGUGAGUGAUUAUUUGUUCAUGACUUAAAACUUACUUGCAAAUAAUUUAAAAACAAGACUUGAUUUAUAAAAAUGUCCAAACAAACCAUGAUUUUUUUUUAAACAUACAUCACAUCCAUUGCAAAAGGCUAAAAUUCGCCAGGUCUUUAAUUUCAACUAAGUGAGUUGACUAAAUUAAUGUUGCGGACCAUUUUCCAAUUUCCAUGCGGUAUCCCUAUUUUUUUUCUCGCUCAUCUUUUAUGUUUGUUUUUUUUCAUCCCAAGACCUCUUGGAGCUUUCAUUCUAUAAAGUGUGUAUUUUGCUAAUGGUCGAAGGCCAUACGGGGACCUAUAGCUUGCUUGAUAACGCCUGUUGGUCCCUGGAAAGAAUGUGUCUGAUUGCCUAUCACACUUCAUAUUCUUAUUUUAACAUGCAGUUAUAUCUAUGAUAAGAAUGAAAAUUGAAUUGUCAUUGAGACAAAAACCCAACCAAAGAGCAAAAAAAAAAAAAAAAAAAAAAAAGCCCAAGGCAACAUGUAGAUCUUUCGUAUCAAGGGAAUUGCUAUAAAUAUAUUUAUUUCAGGUUAAUAGUAUUAGGCCAUACUCAAGUUAUAAAAUAGAUCUUGUCGUCAACUUUUGCAACCAGC